ACUCCGUAGGUGAACCAGCGGAAGGAUCAUUAUUGUAUAACCAAGGUGCGUGGACCAUCGCUGACCCACACCUACGUGCACGCUCGAGUGCCCUCCCACACCUCCCUCCCGCCCCUAUGCGCACCACCGCCUACCUCACCCUUUGGCUUUUUCAGAAUGGCCCUUACGUUUUCUCACCAUCUUUGUAUGCAGUGUAUAAUCUAUUUUUUGUUUUUGCGUUCCCGCAAUCAAUACAACUUUCAACAACGGAACCCUUCGCUCUCGCCUCGAUGAAGAACG
RNAcentral lists this unclassified non-coding RNA (279 nucleotides) under plant metagenome. RNAcentral's name for it is "partial contains small subunit ribosomal RNA, internal transcribed spacer 1, and 5.8S ribosomal RNA". The record is from RNAcentral.